RNAcentral lists this ribosomal RNA (416 nucleotides) under Bacteroides fragilis. RNAcentral describes it as "partial 23S ribosomal RNA". It matches the Rfam family "Bacterial large subunit ribosomal RNA", at positions 1 to 427 of the family's 2925-position model. Lineage: Bacteria; Pseudomonadati; Bacteroidota; Bacteroidia; Bacteroidales; Bacteroidaceae. The record is from RNAcentral.
AAGAAAGUAAAUAAGGGCGCAUGGCGGAUGCCUUGGCUCUCGGAGGCGAUGAAGGACGUGAUAAGCUGCGAUAAGCUUCGGGUAGGUGCAAAUGACCUUUGAUCCGAAGAUUUCCGAAUGGGACAACCCGGCAUUCUGAAGGAAUGUCAUCCAACUAAGUUGGAGGCUAACGCAGGGAACUGAAACAUCUUAGUACCUGCAGGAAAAGAAAAUAAAUAAUGAUUCCCCUAGUAGUGGCGAGCGAACGGGGAUUAGCCCAAACCACCCAUGUUACGGCAUGGGUGGGGUUGUAGGACCACGCUCUCGCAAGACAGUUAUUGAGAAGAAACGGCUGGAAAGUCGUGCCAUAGACGGUGAUAGCCCGGUAUUCUAAGGUAACCGAAGCGUAGUGGUAUCCUGAGUAGCGCGGAGCACGA